UACGUAGGGUGCGAGCGUUAAUCGGAAUUACUGGGCGUAAAGUGUGCGCAGGCGGCAGAGCAAGUCGAGUGUGAAAGCCCCGGGCUUAACUUGGGAAUUGCGCUCGAAACUACUUUGCUGGAGUGUGGCAGAGGAAGGUGGAAUUCCACGUGUAGCGGUGAAAUGCGUAGAGAUGUGGAGGAACACCAAUGGCGAAGGCAGCCUUCUGGGCCAACACUGACGCUCAUGCACGAAAGCGUGGGAGCAAACAGG
RNAcentral lists this ribosomal RNA (252 nucleotides) under uncultured bacterium. Its description in RNAcentral is "partial 16S ribosomal RNA". It matches the Rfam family "Bacterial small subunit ribosomal RNA", at positions 524 to 776 of the family's 1533-position model. The record is from RNAcentral.